GAUGAACGCUGGCGGCGUGCCUAAUACAUGCAAGUCGAGCGAACAGACGAGGAGCUUGCUCCUCUGACGUUAGCGGCGGACGGGUGAGUAACACGUGGAUAACCUACCUAUAAGACUGGGAUAACUUCGGGAAACCGGAGCUAAUACCGGAUAAUAUAUUAAACCGCAUGGUUCAUUAUUGAAAGACGGUUUUGCUGUCACUUAUAGAUGGAUCCGCGCCGCAUUAGCUAGUUGGUAAGGUAACGGCUUACCAAGGCAACGAUGCGUAGCCGACCUGAGAGGGUGAUCGGCCACACUGGAACUGAGACACGGUCCAGACUCCUACGGGAGGCAGCAGUAGGGAAUCUUCCGCAAUGGGCGAAAGCCUGACGGAGCAACGCCGCGUGAGUGAUGAAGGUCUUCGGAUCGUAAAACUCUGUUAUUAGGGAAGAACAAAUGUGUAAGUAACUAUGCACGUCUUGACGGUACCUAAUCAGAAAGCCACGGCUAACUACGUG
RNAcentral lists this ribosomal RNA (497 nucleotides) under uncultured bacterium. RNAcentral describes it as "partial 16S ribosomal RNA". It matches the Rfam family "Bacterial small subunit ribosomal RNA", at positions 28 to 507 of the family's 1533-position model. The record is from RNAcentral.